This 478-nucleotide ribosomal RNA is filed under the name uncultured bacterium. RNAcentral's name for it is "partial 16S ribosomal RNA". It matches the Rfam family "Bacterial small subunit ribosomal RNA", at positions 28 to 507 of the family's 1533-position model. The record is from RNAcentral.
GAUGAACGCUGGCGGCGUGCUUAACACAUGCAAGUCGAACGAGAAGUGAAGACGGAAACCUUCGGGCGGAAGGCUUUAUUUCGAGUGGCGGACGGGUGAGUAACGCGUGGGUAACCUGCCUCAUACAGGGGGAUAACAGUUGGAAACGACUGUUAAUACCGCAUAAGACCACAGCACCGCAUGGUGCGGGGGUAAAAACUCCGGUGGUAUGAGAUGGACCCGCGUUCGAUUAGCCAGUUGGCGGGGUAACGGCCCACCAAAGCGACGAUCGAUAGCCGAUCUGAGAGGAGGACCGGCCACAGUGGGACUGAGACACGGCCCAAACUCCUACGGGAGGCAGCAGUGGGGAAUAUUGCACAAUGGGGGAAACCCUGAUGCAGCGACGCCGCGUGAGUGAAGAAGUAUUUCGGUAUGUAAAGCUCUAUCAGCAGGGAAGAAAAUGACGGUACCUGAGUAAGAAGCCCCGGCUAACUACGUG